RNAcentral lists this ribosomal RNA (186 nucleotides) under uncultured bacterium. RNAcentral describes it as "partial 16S ribosomal RNA". It matches the Rfam family "Bacterial small subunit ribosomal RNA", at positions 1315 to 1500 of the family's 1533-position model. The record is from RNAcentral.
CCCACACGAAGUCGGAGUUGCUAGUAAUCCCGAAUCAGCAUGUCGGGGUGAAUGCGUUCCCGGGUCUUGUACACACCGCCCGUCACGCCAUGGGAGUCGGAAGUGCCCAAAGUCGGUGACCUAACCGCAGGGAAGGAGCCGCCUAAGGUAAUGCCGAUGACUGGGGUGAAGUCGUAACAAGGUAGC